This 543-nucleotide long non-coding RNA is filed under the name Aedes aegypti (yellow fever mosquito). Its description in RNAcentral is "lncRNA AAEL023533". Lineage: Eukaryota; Metazoa; Arthropoda; Insecta; Diptera; Culicidae. The record is from RNAcentral.
AACGAAAGCUCCUGUCCCAAAUUGAAUGAUUUGUAAUUCACUCGGAUGCAAACAUGCAUAUUCUCUAUUUUGAAUGAAUAUAGAAUAGUAUGAUGAUCUUCGAAGUAAUAAACAACAAUCAUCCAAUUCUACGAUGACUUUCAGUACACAUCUGUAUGGUAAUAACUAGAUAAUUGAAUUAAGAUGACACAAAUGGAAAACAUACAACUUUUGAGUGAUUUUAUCUUAUCCUAUGUUCCAAAACAAAAAUCAUUCAAUUAUCGUCUGAGUUGUCAUGUAGAAAGAUAAUGAUCGUAAAUGUCAAAUCCUUUUUGUAAACAUUGAACAAAAAUGGCUGCAGCAUCGUGGUGUUCACAUAUGUUUAGUAUUUUGAAGAAUACUAGAACAACAACGUAAUCUACCUAAUGAUGUUGGUGCCUAAUAAUGAUUCACGACAUAUUUACUUCGGACCACGCUUUGGGGAGACACCUGUUCCUGAAAAUAUAAAGUUGCGGCAUGCAUGGGAAUACUUUUCAUAUUAGUGAAUAAAAAGCUGAAAAAUCA